CUUACGAGAUAGAGAGUAACACCCCGUUCCCACUAGACGGCACGUUUUAUUUUCCGUCGACGUUUUUUUUUUCGUUCAACGUUUUUUUUUUCUGCUGGCGCAUACAUUUAGAUUGGAGUGUUCCCAUUACAAAAGUUUUCCGUCGACGGAAAAAAAAACCGUUUGUAAUGGGAACACUCCAAUCUAAAUGCAUGCGCCAACAGAAAAAAAAACCGUUGAACGGAAAAAAACGUCGACGGAAAAUAAAACGUGCCGUGCUAGUGGGAACGGGGUGUAAUUCCGUAAAAAAUAU
This 292-nucleotide long non-coding RNA is filed under the name Olea europaea subsp. europaea. The record is from RNAcentral. Lineage: Eukaryota; Viridiplantae; Streptophyta; Magnoliopsida; Lamiales; Oleaceae.